AUUGCCUCUUGACAACAAACCACAAUAAGAGGUACAUCCUGCCCAAUGAAAUAUAUUUUUGAAUGGCCGCGGUACCCUAACCGUGCUAAGGUAGCAUAAUCAUUUGCCUCCUAAUUAGAGGCUAGUAUGAAUGGACAAACGAGGGCGAGACUGUUUCUUAUAGAAAAAUAAAAAUUUAUCUCUAGGUGAAAAAGCCUAGAUAGUAUUAAAAGACAAAAAGACCCUGCAGAGCUUCAUACUAACAAAUAACUUAAAUUAAUAUGUAUUUUGUUGGGGCGACAAAGGAUUAAAAAAAACAUCCUUAAAAAUAAAGGACUACACUCCUCACAUAAGAUCCUUAAACAAGAUCAAAGACAAAAGCUACCUCAGGGAUAACAGGCUUAUCUUUCUAGAGAGCUCAUAUCGACAGAAAGCUUUGGCACCUCGAUGUUGGCUUAGGGUCCCUGGUGGUGCAGCAGCCAUCAAUGGUGGGUUUGUUCAACCUUUAAAACCCUACGUGAUCU
Molecule: ribosomal RNA, 503 nt
Filed under: Coppingeria sp. KJO-2011
Lineage: Eukaryota; Metazoa; Annelida; Polychaeta; Terebellida; Flabelligeridae
Description: partial 16S ribosomal RNA
Rfam family: Bacterial large subunit ribosomal RNA
Source: RNAcentral